This 296-nucleotide ribosomal RNA is filed under the name uncultured bacterium. Its description in RNAcentral is "partial 16S ribosomal RNA". It matches the Rfam family "Bacterial small subunit ribosomal RNA", at positions 335 to 621 of the family's 1533-position model. The record is from RNAcentral.
ACUCCUACGGGAGGCGAGCAGUGGGAAUAUUGGCACAAUGGGCGCAAGCCUGACUGCAGCCAUGCCGCGUGUGUGAAGAAGGCCUUCGGGUUGUAAAGCACUUUCAGUUGUGAGGAAGGUGGUGUCGUUAAUAGCGGCAUCAUUUGACGUUAGCAACAGAAGAAGCACCGGCUAACUCCGUGCCAGCAGCCGCGGUAAUACGGAGGGUGCGAGCGUUAAUCGGAAUUACUGGGCGUAAAGCGCAUGCAGGUGGUUUGUUAAGUCAGAUGUGAAAGCCCGGGGCUCAACCUCGGAAC